Cyanistes caeruleus (blue tit) is the source of this 566-nucleotide non-coding RNA. NCBI's taxonomy places the organism in Eukaryota, Metazoa, Chordata, Aves, Passeriformes, Paridae. The record is from RefSeq and is a predicted model, not a curated record.
CCUCAGCAGCCCCGCCGCCAGCCCAGCUCCUCCCGGGCCGGGCGGGGCGGGCAGGCCGCGCUCCCCAAGGGCGCUGAGCAGGCGGGCGGCCGCGGUGAGCGGGAAUGGAGCCCAGAGCGCCUUCAAAUGGCUGAAACACGCGCAGAGAAACAAACGCGGCGGGGAACAGCCACCGCCGAGGAGCACUCACGAACUGGCCUCUUCAAGUGGUAACAGUGACAAGAAACAGAGCAAGGAAUCCGAGAAAGAUUUACCAACUCUUAUCAGUGCUAUCAGGGAGUGUGAACCAAUAGGAUAAAACUACAGGAAGAAAUAAAAUACCUAAUUUACAGAAUGUCCUGCAGACAAGUCAGAAGUUAAAACCAAACAAGAGCUCCUAGAACAUGAAAAACUCAAAGGAAUGUUUAAAUAAUGUAUAAGCUAAUGAAUAUGCAGCAAUAUAACUUAUAUCGCGAACAUGAUUUUAAGCUACCUCCAUGCUUUUUGGUUGUUCGCCAAAAGCACCCCAGUGCAGGAUUAGUUGUUUGUCCUUCUUUUAUCCUUUAAUAAAAUUUUUUAAAUUCUAA